RNAcentral lists this ribosomal RNA (86 nucleotides) under Crithidia fasciculata. Its description in RNAcentral is "partial ribosomal RNA". The record is from RNAcentral. Lineage: Eukaryota; Euglenozoa; Kinetoplastea; Trypanosomatida; Trypanosomatidae.
AAUGUACUUUUAUAAGUUCAUUAAUUACUGCACGUUAUUUUUAUUAUAAAAAUUGGUGGGCAACAAUACCUUUUAAAUCUACUUUU